RNAcentral lists this ribosomal RNA (301 nucleotides) under uncultured bacterium. Its description in RNAcentral is "partial 16S ribosomal RNA". It matches the Rfam family "Bacterial small subunit ribosomal RNA", at positions 509 to 809 of the family's 1533-position model. The record is from RNAcentral.
CAGCCGCCGCGGGAAUACGAAGGGUGCAAGCGUUAAUCGGAAUUACUGGGCGUAAAGCGUGCGUAGGCGGUGAGUUAAGUCUGCUGUGAAAUCCCCGGGCUCAACCUGGGAAUGGCAGUGGAUACUGGCUCGCUAGAGUGUGUCAGAGGAUGGUGGAAUUCCCGGUGUAGCGGUGAAAUGCGUAGAGAUCGGGAGGAACAUCAGUGGCGAAGGCGGCCAUCUGGGACAACACUGACGCUGAGGCACGAAAGCGUGGGGAGCAAACAGGAUUAGAUACCCCUGUAGUCCCUGUCUCUUAUAU